GACGAACGCUGGCGGCGUGCUUAACACAUGCAAGUCGAACGAAGAGCGAUGGAAGCUUGCUUCUAUCAAUCUUAGUGGCGAACGGGUGAGUAACGCGUAAUCAACCUGCCCUUCAGAGGGGGACAACAGUUGGAAACGACUGCUAAUACCGCAUACGAUCUAAUCUCGGCAUCGAGGAUAGAUGAAAGGUGGCCUCUACAUGUAAGCUAUCACUGAAGGAGGGGAUUGCGUCUGAUUAGCUAGUUGGAGGGGUAACGGCCCACCAAGGCGAUGAUCAGUAGCCGGUCUUAGAGGAUGAACGGCCACAUUGGGACUGAGACACGGCCCAGACUCCUACGGGAGGCAGCAGUGGGGAAUCUUCCGCAAUGGACGAAAGUCUUACGGAGCAACGCCGCGUGAGUGAUGACGGCCUUCGGGUUGUAAAGCUCUGUUAAUCGGGACGAAAGGCCUUCUUGCGAAUAGGGAGAAGGAUUGACGGUACCGGAAUAGAAAGCCACGGCUAACUACGUG
RNAcentral lists this ribosomal RNA (510 nucleotides) under uncultured bacterium. RNAcentral describes it as "partial 16S ribosomal RNA". It matches the Rfam family "Bacterial small subunit ribosomal RNA", at positions 28 to 507 of the family's 1533-position model. The record is from RNAcentral.